UAAUACAGAGGGUGCAAACGUUGCUCGGAAUGAUUGGGCGUAAAGCGCGUGUAGGCGGCCUGUUAUGCCGGUUGUGAAAGCCCGUGGCUCAACCACGGAAGUGCAGUCGGAACUGACAGGCUAGAGUGCCGAAGAGGGUGGCGGAAUGACCAGUGUAGAGGUGAAAUUCGUAGAUAUUGGUUAGAACACCGGUGGCGAAGGCGGCCACCUGGGAGGUUACUGACGCUGAGACGCGAAAGCGUGGGGAGCAAACAGGAUUAGAUACCCUGGUAGUCCACGCCGUAAACGAUGAACACUAGGUGGUGCGGGUAUUGACCCCUGCAGUGCCGACGCUAACGCAUUAAGUGUUCCGCCUGGGGAGUACGGCCGCAAGGCUA
This 377-nucleotide ribosomal RNA is filed under the name uncultured bacterium. RNAcentral's name for it is "bacterial SSU rRNA". It matches the Rfam family "Bacterial small subunit ribosomal RNA", at positions 521 to 896 of the family's 1533-position model. The record is from RNAcentral.